CUGGGGCUCCCAGAUUUCACGAUGCUUCCCUCUAUCCCGCCUCAUUGACCCCUGGACAACCCUGAAAUAUCAUCGUCAGCAUUAUUUCAUCGGAAAGAAGGGCAGCAAGAGAGGCCGGAUGAUUCUCCCAAGGCCACACAGCUAAUUAGUGGGCAGAGCCCAGUCUAGAAGCCAUCUCACCAUCUGACACCUUUCGACAAAGUGCAAAACGCGGUGGUGAGAGACGAGGACACAGACAUUAAGAUUCCGCUCCAGCCCUAGAGGCACUGAGAAUCAGAACGUGAACUACUCUUCACUCCAGGCAGAAAGCAAGAGGCUUGGAUGAGUUUUAGGAAACCAGCACAGUGUCGGGCACAGAGCGCUCAAUGAAUAGAUGUGUAACAACAAAGUAGGGAUCCAACAGAGGAAGAAAUAAUUUAUUGUAAGGUGGCCUUUGGGAAAGCUCUCAGAAAGGUGGAUGAAUCACUUAAGAGGAAUGGACUCCAGCAGCAUCACAGAAUCAAAGCAACACCUAAGGAAUUCACUGUUUCUUCACAUACUUUGAACUGUGAAAACAAGAGUCAUCAUAAUAGCUGCAGUUUACUCAGUACCUACCAGGUACUGUCACCUAUACUGUCUCUAAAGCCCCUACAACCCUGAGCUAAGGAUGAUCAUAUCCCCAACUGCAGAUGAUGACACUGAAGCUCAACGGCUACUCAACUUGCCUGGAAUCCUACAGCAAUUAACAAAAACCAGCAUCACGCUCAAGGUUUUGUGAACUUAUCAGUUCCCUUAUUUCAACUCCUGGUCCUGUUGGAAAAAGUGACAGUUGGGAGGCAGAACUGCGCAUGGUAGCCCAGAGCUCUUACCAUCUGAGCCACGUGCCCAUUCAUUUCUCAUUUCAGAAUACUGCAUUGUGUCACAAGAAUUCAACUAUGUACUCAUGGAGAAGGAGGGAGAAAGCAAGGAAGGAAAAAAGAGAAAAGUAAUUUACAUAGUAACAGCAAUUCUGCUCAACAUUCCAUUCAGUGAGCCGAUACCCUGGAGUGCAGAAACUGUUAUGAAUGUACUCCACCAAGGCAAGAAAGGAAGAAGACAUGGAAUUUAAAAAACAGAGGAUCUACUAUGAAAGAGAAAGGUGAAGGGAAUUCCAGGCUGAUGGUAAAUGCAAAUUCCAGGAUGAGAGUUGGGCAGCAGGCCUAGAGUGCACUCCGUCCUGGGAGGAGCCAGAUGAUAGAGGGCUCUAGGAGAGAAGGCUCCAAGGGAAAAUGAAACAAGAGGAGGAGAAGAAACAGGCUUACGCUGAGCGAAUCCAAUGUGCAGACAGACACACAGGGAAGGUGACCAUUUGAAGACGGAGGCAGAAACUGAAGUUGUGCAACUGCAAACCAAGAAAUGCCAUGGAUUGCCAACAACCACCAGGAACUAGAAGAGGCAAGGUAAGGUUCAGCAAAGUCUAUGUCAUUCUCUAAUCCUUUUGAUCCAGCGGAUUCUUUGGAGGAAUUUGAAUACAUAUUGGAUUUUGCAUCCAGGUUUGCAAGAGGAAAAUACAAAGGUGACUUCUGGGCCUGCUGGAGGUGGAGGGUAGAGGAUGGACAGCUGACAUCUAGUCACAGAGGAAAGAACACAGAAAGAGAUCUCCAGUUAAAGCUGAUAGAUUGAACCACAGACAACCCACCUCCUUCUAAAAUCCCUCUAGAACAAUGGUUUAAAAAAAGUGCUUUAACAUAAAACUUCAAAAUCAAAAAGAUAAGGAAAAUGAUGAAAACCACUCAGAUAAGAAGAGAGGAUAUUUAUGCAGAGGCUGCUGUCGUUGGGAGUCCGCCACCAUACCACUAUACUUUGGUGAGACUUGAAGGCAGGCAGGGAGUGGAAACACUUUAUGCUGUAGUGAAAAAAGGGGAAGGCUUCGGUAUGCUCUGACUGGAGAUCAUUGUCAUGGGGAAACUGCAGGUGGGCUAACUAGAGGCUGGGCUUCUUGUGUAAUGGUUUGGCUUUCUCUGGUUGGUCCUGUGUUGAAAAUAGGGGCAAAAUAUAGGGAAGCUGACUCAUUGACCAAGCCCUGCCCAGGCUGGCCAAUUGCAGAGGUUGUGGGUCAGAGUUCUAUUGUCAUAUAUGGUCUGGCUACUGUCUGUUUAUAUAAUCCGUCUCUCAGAGAACAGUAGAGGAGAUCAAAUUAUUAACAUUUUGGAAGCUGGAAAGCAGGAGGAUAGUGUGAGCUGAAUUAGCAGACUUGCCAUCUAUCAAAGGGGAUAGCCAAAAGCAAGCCAGAUUUGCCCCAGAGAACCACCAAAGGUUCAAGAAUUGGCAGCACCAGGUACCCCCAGAAGCAGGGAUAAAGUGGGGGCUGAAAUUGGACAGUUGGUUCAAAGUCUAUUUCAGAAGCAUUAGACCACUGGAUUUCUUCCCCAGCUCCCAAAUGACUGCCUGGUGCAAAAGACUCAGGAUUGAUUCCCUGGAGAGGGUAGGUAGUUCUUUGUCUAGUUAAGGAUGGGAUGCCAUAACAAACAUGCCAAUUCAGUGAAAGUACCUACUUUCAAGACUCCUGCUUAACUCCCCUAAAUCAGCAGCCAAUGUUAGAAGCCAAGUGUUAAAGUUUUUCAGAUAAUUUUGCUAUAAGCCUAUGGAGAAAUUUCAUUACCAUCUCAUAGCAAGGCCUAUAGUAUAAGAGCAGGCCUAUAGUAGCAUAUGGGGGAAAGUCUAAAAGACUUUGAAAUGGACCAAAAGAUUAUUGAGAAAUGGAAAACUGCAUUGUUUUAAGUAUCCCUUUCCAACUUAUCAGAUUCUGUGGGGUUUAUACCUUUCAUUGUCUUUGAGGUAUUUAACAAUUCUAAAGAGAUAGACUCUAACUUGUAGAAAACUAAGAGUAACAUAAAUAAUUAUCGUCUUUAGAUAUACAAAUAAAUUCUGUUCUGAGAA
Molecule: long non-coding RNA, 2898 nt
Filed under: Homo sapiens (human)
Lineage: Eukaryota; Metazoa; Chordata; Mammalia; Primates; Hominidae
Description: HSALNT0377723
Source: RNAcentral